This 610-nucleotide ribosomal RNA is filed under the name uncultured archaeon. Its description in RNAcentral is "bacterial SSU rRNA". It matches the Rfam family "Archaeal small subunit ribosomal RNA", at positions 320 to 930 of the family's 1478-position model. The record is from RNAcentral.
GCCCUACGGGGUGCAGCAGGCGCGAAAACUUUACAAUGCUGGGAACAGCGAUAAGGGGACAUCGAGUGCCAGCUUCCAAAUUUGGCUGUCCAGAUGUCUAAAUAGCAUAAUAUAGCAAGGGCCGGGCAAGACCGGUGCCAGCCGCCGCGGUAACACCGGCGGCUCGAGUGGUAACCGUUAUUAUUGGGUCUAAAGGGUCUGUAGCCGGCCGGAUAAGUCUCUUGGGAAAUCUGGCAGCUCAACUGUCAGGCUUUCAGGGGAUACUGUCUGGCUCGAGGCCGGGAGAGGUGAGAGGUACUUCAGGGGUAGGGGUGAAAUCUUGUAAUCCUUGAAGGACCACCAGUGGCGAAGGCGUCUCACCAGAACGGACCUGACGGCAAGGGACGAAAGCUAGGGGCACGAACCGGAUUAGAUACCCGGGUAGUCCUAGCCGUAAACGAUACUCGCUAGGUGUCGGCCACGGUGCGACCGUUGUCGGUGCCGUAGGGAAGCCGUGAAGCGAGCCACCUGGGAAGUACGGCCGCAAGGCUGAAACUUAAAGGAAUUGGCGGGGGAGCACCACAACGGGUGGAGCUUGCGGUUUAAUUGGAUUCAACGCCGGAAAUCUUAC